This is a long non-coding RNA of Saccostrea cuccullata (small rock oyster), 585 nucleotides long. RefSeq lists it as uncharacterized. NCBI's taxonomy places the organism in Eukaryota, Metazoa, Mollusca, Bivalvia, Ostreida, Ostreidae. The transcript has 3 exons. The record is from RefSeq and is a predicted model, not a curated record.
GUAAACAAAAACACGCAAAAUCGGCAGCACAACAGUGACUUCAAAAGAAAUUGACGGGACUGUGGAGGCUUACUAUAGUGGAAAUUUUUAGAAGAAGUAUAAACCAUAAGGGCCAGAGCAUAAUGGGUCCUGGAAGGAUUUGCUUACGAAACCUUUUUCACUGCUUCUGGAGGUUUGUUGGUUAAUUUCUCAUUCCGGAGAAAUUUAACUCCAUCACUACCAUGUUGGGGGUUCCCUAAUGCCAGAUAACAUCUCCAGGAAAGCAAAGAGAGGUAUACACCACAAACGGCAGAGCAUAAAGAAUGGCUGGGAGAUUUGAUAAACUUAACUGUUGUAGGAGAACAAUUUCAAGCAUUGAUAUUAGAAAAUUGUGCUGUCAGUCUUUUGUAUGACUUGGAGGACAAACUUCCCCUUGAAAACUGGAACAAAUGUGAAAUGAAGAAUGUGUAUCUUCAUAUUGAGAACUUUUCCUUGUAAAAUCACCUCUGGGAAAAAGUUUAUUUCAUAUCAAUUUAUUGUGUUCAUUAUCUGGUCUAAUUUUAUAUUUGUAAUUGUUUUAAAAUUGCAUGGCGAAACACAUUUUUG